CCUACGGGUGGCAGCAGUGGGGAAUAUUGGACAAUGGGGGGAACCCUGAUCCAGCCAUGCCGCGUGUGUGAAGAAGGCCCUCGGGUUGUAAAGCACUUUCAGUGAGGAAGAACGCCUGGUGGUUAAUACCCAUCAGGAAAGACAUCACUCACAGAAGAAGCACCGGCUAACUCCGUGCCAGCAGCCGCGGUAAUACGGAGGGUGCGAGCGUUAAUCGGAAUUACUGGGCGUAAAGCGCGCGUAGGUGGCUUGAUAAGCCGGUUGUGAAAGCCCCGGGCUCAACCUGGGAACGGCAUCCGGAACUGUCAGGCUAGAGUGAAGGAGAGGAAGGUAGAAUUCCCGGUGUAGCGGUGAAAUGCGUAGAGAUCGGGAAGAAUACCAGUGGCGAAGGCGGCCUUCUGGACUGACACUGACGCUGAGGUGCGAAAGCGUGGGUAGCAAACAGGAUUAGAUACCCGAGUAGUC
This 465-nucleotide ribosomal RNA is filed under the name Vreelandella stevensii. Its description in RNAcentral is "partial 16S ribosomal RNA". It matches the Rfam family "Bacterial small subunit ribosomal RNA", at positions 338 to 795 of the family's 1533-position model. Lineage: Bacteria; Pseudomonadati; Pseudomonadota; Gammaproteobacteria; Oceanospirillales; Halomonadaceae. The record is from RNAcentral.